RNAcentral lists this ribosomal RNA (393 nucleotides) under uncultured bacterium. RNAcentral's name for it is "partial 16S ribosomal RNA". It matches the Rfam family "Bacterial small subunit ribosomal RNA", at positions 523 to 918 of the family's 1533-position model. The record is from RNAcentral.
AUACGGAGGAUCCGAGCGUUAUCCGGAUUUAUUGGGUUUAAAGGGAGCGGAGGCGGACGCUUAAGUCAGUUGUGAAAGUUUGCGGCUCAACCGUAAAAUUGCAGUUGAUACUGGCUGUCUUGAGUACAGUAGAGGUGGGCGGAAUUCGUGGGGGAGCGGUGAAAUGCUUAGAUAUCACGAAGAACUCCGAUUGCGAAGGCAGCUCACUGGACUGCAACUGACACUGAUGCUCGAAAGUGUGGGUAUCAAACAGGAUUAGAUACCCUGGUAGUCCACACAGUAAACGAUGAAUACUCGCUGUUUGCGAUAUACAGUAAGCGGCCAAGCGAAAGCAUUAAGUAUUCCACCUGGGGAGUACGCCGGCAACGGUGAAACUCAAAGGAAUUGACGGGG